This is a transfer RNA of Botryobasidium botryosum FD-172 SS1, 73 nucleotides long. It matches the Rfam family "tRNA". From Rfam's summary of the family: Transfer RNA (tRNA) molecules are approximately 80 nucleotides in length. Their secondary structure includes four short double-helical elements and three loops (D, anti-codon, and T loops). Further hydrogen bonds mediate the characteristic L-shaped molecular structure. tRNAs have two regions of fundamental functional importance: the anti-codon, which is responsible for specific mRNA codon recognition, and the 3' end, to which the tRNAs corresponding amino acid is attached (by aminoacyl-tRNA synthetases). tRNAs cope with the degeneracy of the genetic code in two manners: having more than one tRNA (with a specific anti-codon) for a particular amino acid; and 'wobble' base-pairing, i.e. permitting non-standard base-pairing at the 3rd anti-codon position. The record is from Rfam. Lineage: Eukaryota; Fungi; Basidiomycota; Agaricomycetes; Cantharellales; Botryobasidiaceae.
GGGCAAAUAGCUCAGUUGGUAGAGCGCGCGCUUCGCAUGCGCGAGGUCUUGGGUUCAAUUCCCAAUUUGUCCA